RNAcentral lists this ribosomal RNA (497 nucleotides) under uncultured bacterium. RNAcentral's name for it is "partial 16S ribosomal RNA". It matches the Rfam family "Bacterial small subunit ribosomal RNA", at positions 28 to 507 of the family's 1533-position model. The record is from RNAcentral.
GAUGAACGCUGGCGGCGUGCCUAAUACAUGCAAGUCGAGCGAACAGAUGAGGAGCUUGCUCCUCUGACGUUAGCGGCGGACGGGUGAGUAACACGUGGAUAACCUACCUAUAAGACUGGGAUAACUUCGGGAAACCGGAGCUACUACCGGAUAAUAUAUUGAACCGCAUGGUUCAAUAGUGAAAGACGGUUUUGCUGUCACUUAUAGAUGGAUCCGCGCCGCAUUAGCUAGUUGGUAAGGUAACGGCUUACCAAGGCAACGAUGCGUAGCCGACCUGAGAGGGUGAUCGGCCACACUGGAACUGAGACACGGUCCAGACUCCUACGGGAGGCAGCAGUAGGGAAUCUUCCGCAAUGGGCGAAAGCCUGACGGAGCAACGCCGCGUGAGUGAUGAAGGUCCUCGGAUCGUAAAACUCUGUUAUUAGGGAAGAACAAAUGUGUAAGUAACUAUGCACGUCUUGACGGUACCUAAUCAGAAAGCCACGGCUAACUACGUG